This 500-nucleotide ribosomal RNA is filed under the name uncultured bacterium. RNAcentral describes it as "partial 16S ribosomal RNA". It matches the Rfam family "Bacterial small subunit ribosomal RNA", at positions 30 to 523 of the family's 1533-position model. The record is from RNAcentral.
AUUGAACGCUGGCGGCAUGCCUUACACAUGCAAGUCGAACGGCAGCACGGGAGCAAUCCUGGUGGCGAGUGGCGAACGGGUGAGUAAUGUAUCGGAACGUGCCCAGUCGUGGGGGAUAACGCAGCGAAAGCUGUGCUAGUACCGCAUACGAUCUAUGGAUGAAAGCGGGGGAUCGCAAGACCUCGCGCGAUUGGAGCGGCCGAUAUCAGAUUAGGUAGUUGGUGGGGUAAAGGCCCACCAAGCCGACGAUCUGUAGCUGGUCUGAGAGGACGACCAGACACACUGGAACUGAGACACGGUCCAGACUCCUACGGGAGGCAGCAGUGGGGAAUUUUGGACAAUGGGCGCAAGCCUGAUCCAGCAAUGCCGCGUGCAGGAUGAAGGCCUUCGGGUUGUAAACUGCUUUUGUACGGAACGAAACGGUUCUCUCUAAUACAGGGGGCUAAUGACGGUACCGUAAGAAUAAGCACCGGCUAACUACGUGCCAGCCGCCGCGGUAA